ACUACAGGAGAUCUGCACAAAACAAUACGACUAAUAAUGAAACCAGGUGCUUCGUCCUCAUUGGUCAAAAGGAUCUUCACAUAUGUCAGUCAACUUACCAAAGCAUACUUCAGUCAAAGAAAUUGUUAAUAAAUGGCGAGUUAAGUCUAUACCCGAUAGUUAAGUCUUGACUUGGUGAAUACUAAUUAUUUGAAAACAUCAAUUACAGUAAGUGAGAGGAUAAUGUAUUAUUUAAAUAUAUUAAAAAACACAUACCUAUCGCUAAAUAGAUUAUUCUACACUGUAAAAUAUAUCCAUUUUUUCUGUGAUUUCCUCCAAUGUGUAGUAUUGAAAUUCAGACCAUACAUUUUUACUCAUCCCUGUUUACAAAUUAGUAAACAUUUAGUUAAGAGUAUCAUAAAGAUGAUAAUUGAGAGCCAUUGAUUAACAAUAUGAAAUCAUAACAUGCACAGAAAAUUUACCAUUUGACCGUUAGAUCAUCAUCAGUGCACUGAAAUGCCGCUCAGCAUAAAUACUUCACUCUUCCAGUGUAUGUCAUGGAGAAAUCAUGAUGUGUUAUACAGACUUAUAGCAUCUGUAUUGAUUGGGAUGAUCCCAUUUUGAUGCUUGGGGACAAUUUUUCAGUAUUGAGCUUAAUGUAAAAUUAAAUGUGCGCUGCAAUUACAGAGCUAAUCACACAUACUUAGUAGUGGAAAUCAAGCAGCUAAUUACCGGACCACCUAGUGCGUACAGACAGGAAACGAAGAAGGCAAGGCUGCUCCCUUCUGGCUGACAUGAUCCACUCUGCUAUUCAGACCAUGUGAGAACUCAAAAGCCAUUUUUCCAGCAGGUUAAAGAACCUUGCCGAAGAAAUCCUCCGACACAGUGAUUUAAUCCAAACCGAUACAUAUGUUCAUCAUCACAGCUUUCUCCACGUUCACAGUAAAUACAACUCCACGACAAAUACUUAAGACACACACUCGAUCGCACAUGCACACAUACUGUAUACAGUAUCUAAAACAGGUUAAAGCAAAAAUACCAACUUGAUACAAUGCACUUUGUCAGAAACUCAACACUUUGGUCAAACAAAUUCAAAUAAAUAUCUUUGCACAACAUCAAAUGCAGUUUAAGGCCAAAAUCAACUAUUCAACGAGUCAAACAACGAGGUUCAAAAACAUACAUACACAAAAUAUUUCUAUUUACAAUAUUUCCUCUUAGAAAAAUAUGUUUUUCUUGCAGUUUUAAACAUAUUCAAUUCCACCCCGAGUGCACAAGAUGGCAUCAAAUUUAAUCACAAAUCCAUUGUUUGCAGUGCAGCUAAAUUCAAUGGAUACAAGGGCAUUCUGGAGGAAUUUCAACUGACAAGCAUCUGCAAAUAUCAAGCAACUAAUCUAACAUUUCCAAUGAUGACAAUUACGCCGUUAUUUUAAUUACGUGUAUAAACAAGUUCUGAUCACUUUUUACAUCCGUUUCCGUCAACCUGUAAACAUUUUUUGGUCAAACCUACACACUAUUUGAGUUUAAUCUUCUCAGAGUUACAGUAACCAACAACACAGCGACAGUUCACGCUCUGCACUAAAAAAAACUCAAACUACAAAUACAGUAAAAUAGAACUCUUUGAUUCUGAAGCGAGUGCCCGCCGCUGAAUUGAGAGCGACUGCGUCGUACUUCCAUAGUGCAAGUGGGACCUCAGGGGCCGAGUCGCGCCUCAGCGGUUGUGGACCCGAUCUGAGGCGGCUGUCGAAAGUCCUUUUCUGCCAGACUUGUGGAGGGAAACAAAAGGGGGGCAACCAGCCAGUAAGGCGCAUCUUACAGUGCAAGUGAAAUGGAGGCCGCCGAGGUCAGCGAGGUCGGCUCAUCGGAGCCGCAGAUCUCACAGACCUCCAGAUCUGUGCAGCUGGAACUUAAAUGUCACAGCGCUUCUGUGUCCCGAGGCCCAAAGAGGGAUGACCUGCGUCUUGUAUUUACAUGGGUGGAGGGUUACUGUAGGAGUCAGUCAACGCGACCGCCUGUCAGCACGUCUGAUCGCACAGGGGAAUCUGUUGUGUUGAGUGUUGAAGUCACCACAUCUUCCAUCCUCUGAAACUGUCUGUGUGUGUGUGUGUGUGUGUGUGUUUUAGAAGAAUUAAACAAGUAUAUCCACUAUCUGAAGCACAUUACUUUACAGUUAUACACCAUUUUAACACGACGGGGAAUUUCACAAAAAUCCUGGCCAUCCCUGGGGAACCGCUUCAGAUUUCAGGCACCAAGACUAAGCGACAGAAUCCACCAAGCGGGUCACAAGAAAAAAGGGCCCAACAGGCGGAAAAGUGCAGAAGACCAAGCAGGAGGUAAAGCUGAGCUGAAGGGGUACCAGCAGAGGAUCCAAUGUACAUAUCUACCUGGUGCCAGAGGUGACGCUGUCAAAAGAGAGAGGAAAAUUAGUGAAGUGUCUCAGAUCUGAUAAGCGUAUUUUGUUCGGCUCUAGAAGGCUCUCAGGCCAACAUAACUUUACUUUCCAUAAUUGCACAAACAAUAUUUUCAAAAUGGAAAUACGUCAAUUUCAGGGUUGGAAGG
Molecule: long non-coding RNA, 2535 nt
Organism: Gasterosteus aculeatus aculeatus (three-spined stickleback)
Lineage: Eukaryota; Metazoa; Chordata; Actinopteri; Perciformes; Gasterosteidae
Source: Ensembl